Myodes glareolus (Bank vole) is the source of this 758-nucleotide non-coding RNA. NCBI's taxonomy places the organism in Eukaryota, Metazoa, Chordata, Mammalia, Rodentia, Cricetidae. The record is from RefSeq and is a predicted model, not a curated record.
UCUGGAGAGGAGAAACGGUGGUCAGGGGUUGGAAGUCAUCCUUGGCUACACAGUGAGUUGGAGCCCUGCAUGGGCUACAUGAGACCUGUCUAGGCCCUAGAAAAUAGUCAGGUCUGACAAAACCCCAUGCUUCAGGAGUCACCGAGAGGACAGGACCGUUGCUGUCCCACCCAGGACUGCUUGGGUUCUUGGAUUCUAGGGGAAUCGCAGAAAACAGCCCCCGCACGUAUCGUUUCCUCAGAUUUCCACGUAGGAGCCACUGGGGUGGGUUUUUUUUUCCUUUUUCCCUUUGAGACAAGGUUUGAACUCACAGCAAUCCUCCCGCCCCUGACUCCUAGGUUGGCUUAAGUCAUCAAGCUCGCCGGCCCUUCACCUUUGCUUCUGGUGACGCACUUGACAGAGUCUGAGAGGGUCGCUAACAGAGAUCGUCCCUGGGCCCUGGCUGCAGUCAGGGUCCCUUGGGAGGAUUUCACACCUGAUGGCCACGAGCGUGGAGCGCGUGCCCAUGGGGCUGGUGAGCGAGAUCUCCAGGUCCCCGCGGCGGCUGUAGGAGAGGGACAGCUGGACCUGCACGUGCUCGAGCGAGCGGAUGAGGCGGUGCGAGCCGUCGGAGCACGCGGACACGUUCUUCCUCACCAGCAUCCGAGGCAGGAUGGAGCUGGUAAGCCACACGCGAGCCAGGUCCACCAGCAGCCCUGCGUCCAGCAGCCCGUAGCCGUAGUGGUGGCUCACUGCGCGGGAGGGGUAGCCGUCACUCG